GACGAACGCUGGCGGCGUGCUUAACACAUGCAAGUCGAACGGUGAAGCGCCUUCCUCUUUGGCGGGUGUGGAUGAGUGGCGAACGGGUGAGUAACACGUGAGUAACCUGCCUCUUUCUUCUGGAUAACCGCAUGAAAGUGUGGCUAAUACGGGAUAUUCUGGGUCUGUCGCAUGAUGGGUCCGGGAAAGAUAUUGCUUCGGUGGGGGAUGGGCUCGCGGCCUAUCAGCUUGUUGGUGGGGUGAUGGCCUACCAAGGCGGUGACGAGUAGCCGGGCUGAGAGGGUGGACGGUCACACUGGGACUGAGACACGGCGCAGACUCCGACGGGAGGCAGCAGUGGGGAAUAUUGCACAAUGGGCGCAAGCCUGAUGCAGCGACGCCGCGUGAGGGAUGGAGGCCUUCGGGUUGUGAACCUCUUUCGCCAGUGAAGCAGGCCUGCCUCGUUUGUGGGUGGGUUGACGGUAGCUGGAGAAGAAGCGCCGGCUAACUACGUG
This 494-nucleotide ribosomal RNA is filed under the name uncultured bacterium. Its description in RNAcentral is "partial 16S ribosomal RNA". It matches the Rfam family "Bacterial small subunit ribosomal RNA", at positions 28 to 507 of the family's 1533-position model. The record is from RNAcentral.